This is a small nucleolar RNA of Callithrix jacchus (white-tufted-ear marmoset), 106 nucleotides long. The record is from Ensembl. Lineage: Eukaryota; Metazoa; Chordata; Mammalia; Primates; Cebidae.
AUCCUUUUGUAUUCACGUAUGCACAAUGAUUGGGUUUUUACCAUCACGUGUGAGAUGUGUCUCCUUCAAGCUUGUUACCACGCAUAAGCAAGUGAUCAGUCCCACG